This 1268-nucleotide ribosomal RNA is filed under the name Farrea sp. MD-2008. RNAcentral describes it as "eukaryotic LSU rRNA". It matches the Rfam family "Eukaryotic large subunit ribosomal RNA", at positions 813 to 1872 of the family's 3401-position model. Lineage: Eukaryota; Metazoa; Porifera; Hexactinellida; Sceptrulophora; Farreidae. The record is from RNAcentral.
GACCCGAAAGAUGGUGAACUAUGCCUGAAUAGGGUGAAGCCAGAGGAAACUCUGGUGGAAGCUCGUAGCGGUUCUGACGUGCAAAUCGAUCGUCAAAUUUGGGUAUAGGGGCGAAAGACUAAUCGAACCAUCUAGUAGCUGGUUCCCUCCGAAGUUUCCCUCAGGAUAGUUGGAGCCUGUGUUAUGUGUGUAGUUUUAUCAGGUAAAGCGAAUGAUUAGAGGUAUUGGGGUUGAAAUGACCUCAACCUAUUCUCAAACUUUAAAUGGGUAAGAUGUGCAGCUUACUUGAGUGAAGUUGUACUCCAAUCUUUCUUUUGAAUACAGAGGCUCUUAGUGGGCCAUUUUUGGUAAGCAGAACUGGCGAUGCGGGAUGAACCGAACGCUGGGUUAAGGUGCCCAAGUCAACGCUCAUGAGAUCCCAGGAAAGGUGUUGGUUGAUACAGACAGCAGGACGGUGGCCAUGGAAGUCGGAAUCCGCUAAGGAGUGUGUAACAACUCACCUGCCGAAUCAACUAGCCCUGAAAAUGGAUGGCGCUCAAGCGUUGCACCUAUCCCCGGCCGCCGUGUGGAGAUAACCAGUGCUGGUGACACGGCGUGUAGGAGGGCGCAGGGCUAUACUGUUUCUUUUUUCAUAAGCUGUACAGGCUGAAGCGUGAGCUCAGCUGAAGCUGGCCCUGGUGCAGAUCUUGGUGGUAGUAGCAAUUAUUCAAAUGAGAAGGUAUUACUUUGAAGGCCGAAGUGGAGAAGGGUUCCACGUGAACAGCAUUUGGACGUGGGUGAGUCGGUUCUAAGAGAUGGGCGAAAGCCUGGUUAGUAAGGGUGCAGAUGUGUUCUCCUCUCUCAACAAGGGGAAAUACGUCCGAUUGGUUUCUCACAAGGGAGCCAGCUUGUGGCACCUUCUCUCGAAAGGGCAUCGGGUUAAUAUUCCCGAACCAGACACUUGGAUGCUGCGUGGUCUCUCUGCUGUCACUGUCUUGCGGCGGUGGUGGUAGUAGCCAUGUGGGGCACGGCAACGUAUAGAUAUAUAAAGUGUUGCUCGGCGACGCUUGCGAUAGCCCUGGGAAGAGUUGUCUUUUCUUCUUAACCGUACCAACCGUGUGCACAGCCCUGGAAGCAGUUUACCUUGAGAGAGGGCUGGAGGUCGGGUAAAGCGCUGCACUUAUUGUAGCGUCCAGUGCGCUGUCGAGAGCCCUUGAAAAGCUGAGCUAGGACUGGACCUUGUUAGUCUCGUGUCUGGCCGUACCCAUCACCGCAUCAGGUCUCCAAGG